UGAAAACUCAGUUUCGAAGGGACAAAGUCAAGGAGACUUCAAAGAUGAGAAAUGAUUGCACUGGGCCUUAGAGAGGAAGUUCAGCAGAACAAGGUGGGAAGGGCACGAUAUCAGAGUAAGAGGCACUGAUGGUGAACAAAUAUAGAGACUGGAAUCCAGUGACGUCACACAGGCGCUCUGGAAGCCAGUGAUGCAGUAUCAGAAUCUGGGAACACAAUGAGGCAAUGUUUCAGCUGCUUGUGCAUUCUUCACCUCCCAUUGUCUCUGUCUCUCUCUUUCUCCUCUGCUUCCCCUCACCCCACAACCAAAGUCAAGAGCGCAGACCCCAUGAUCACCUGAUACUUCCAAGCAAGCAGGUGUUCUUUUCAGAAGCCAGAAGCUGAUAACCUGGGCUUUCUGAUCUAACCCCAGCCCAAAUUCAUUGCAAUGGAGGAAUUGGGGAGGAGAUUCUUCCUACUGAGAAGUGGGUGCCAACUCUCCCUUUCAAAUUUGUUCAUCAACAAACUAAAGGGGAUGCCAGAAAUGUCUGGAGCAAUGGAAGAACCACUGGAAUAAUGCUCCUGCCUGAUUGUAUCUACUUAACCCACUCUCCAAGAGCCAGAAUCAGAUUUCAACCGUAUGGAAUCAUCUACAAUGCAGCAGAUGGGUUUACAAGUCUCUUGGUCUCUUCAUGAAGAAGGCGCAGCAAUCGUGUCCCAAGUCCUUGAGGACUUCACAGGGUGUUCUAGUGUCCUGAGAAUAUACCUGCCUAAGGUUUCUCAUCUCUUAAAUAAGUAUAAUAAGAUUCCCCUCGUCUAUUGUGCAGAGAAAAUUUGUGAAGGAAAAAAUACCAUUCUGUGUGUCAAGCUGCUCUGAAAACAUAAAGUUGUCUGUGAUUAUGAAAGAUGAUGAUUAGUUAAACCUAAAUAAGGCUCUGGAAACUGAAAUAUCCCCACACCUUACGACCAGAGCAACAUCAUCACAUUUGAUUCUUCUCUUUCCUCACUCUCCACUCUGCCCAGCACACCAUUCUGACCUGCUGCUCCCUCUCCACUGCUCAAGUGCUCAGGAUUGCAUGGUGUCCUCAGCAACAUACAUUGGAAAACCAUUUUUAAAAAGGCACAAAUGGGCUGGGCACAGUGGUUCACGCCUGUAAUGCCAGCACUUUGGGAGGCCAAGGUGGGUGGAUCACCUGAGAUCAGGAGUUCGAGACCAGCCUGGCCAACAUGGAGAAACCCCAUCUCUACUAAAAAUACAAAAAUUAGGCCUGGCACAGUGGCUCACGCCUGUGAUCCCAACACUUUGGAAGGUCGAGGCAGGCUGAUCACAAGGUCAGGAGUUCGAGACCAGCCUGACCAACAUAGUGAUAUCCCAUCUCUACUAAAAAUACAAAAAAUUACAGGCGUGGUGGCAGAUGCCUGUAAUCCCGGCUACUCAGGAGGGUGAGGGAGGAGAAUCACUUGAACCGAGGAGGCGGAGCUUGCAGUGAGCCAAGAUCUCGCCACCGCACUCCAGCCUGGGUUACACAGUGAG
RNAcentral lists this long non-coding RNA (1512 nucleotides) under Homo sapiens (human). RNAcentral's name for it is "HSALNT0366333". Lineage: Eukaryota; Metazoa; Chordata; Mammalia; Primates; Hominidae. The record is from RNAcentral.